UUCUUUAAGAUUGAUUAUUUAAGGUAUUUUCUGCCCUAUGAUUAAUAUUAAAUGGCUGCAGUAUUUUGACUGUGCAAAGGUAGCAUAAUAAUUAGUUUUUUAAUUGAGGACUUGUAUGAAUGGAUAAAUGAGGGACAAAUUUUUUUAUUUUUAUUGUUAGAAUUUUAUUUGUUGGUAAAAAAGCUAAUCUAAUUUUUAGGGACGAUAAGACCCUAUAGAACUUAAAAUUUUUUAAUAAUUAUAUUUAUUAGUUUUUUUGGUGUUAUCUUAUUAUGGAAUUUUUAAUUGGGGUGAUUAAUAAAUUUAUCUAUCUUUAUUUUUUUUUAUCAUUGAUUUAUGUAUAAUUGAUCCUUUAUUAAGAUUAUAAGAUAAGUUACCUUAGGGAUAACAGCGUAAUUUUAAUGGGAAGUUCUUAUUUAUAUUAAAGUUUGCGACCUCGAUGUUGAAUUAAAAUUAAUUUAAGGUGAAGGGGCUUUAAUUUAAGUCUGUUCGACUUUUAGAAUUUUACA
RNAcentral lists this ribosomal RNA (509 nucleotides) under Codilia retardata. RNAcentral's name for it is "partial large subunit ribosomal RNA". The stretch from base 384 to 509 matches the Rfam family "Bacterial large subunit ribosomal RNA", at positions 2473 to 2600 of the family's 2925-position model. Lineage: Eukaryota; Metazoa; Arthropoda; Insecta; Hemiptera; Cicadellidae. The record is from RNAcentral.